RNAcentral lists this ribosomal RNA (229 nucleotides) under uncultured bacterium. RNAcentral describes it as "partial 16S ribosomal RNA". It matches the Rfam family "Bacterial small subunit ribosomal RNA", at positions 568 to 796 of the family's 1533-position model. The record is from RNAcentral.
UCCGUAGGCGGGCAAUUAAGUCAGAGGUGAAAUCCCACAGCUCAACUGUGGAACUGCCUUUGAUACUGGUUGUCUUGAGUUACAGUGAAGUAGAUAGAAUAUGUAGUGUAGCGGUGAAAUGCAUAGAUAUUACAUAGAAUACCGAUUGCGAAGGCAGUCUAAUAACUGUAUACUGACGCUAAUGGACGAAAGCGUGGGGAGCGAACAGGAUUAGAUACCCUGGUAGUCC